CACUUAUUCCGGUUAUAUUCGGUUUAAGUUUAUUUGUUCCCCACACCCAUUCCUGGCGGCUGUAUCCGUUUUAGAAAAUUAUCACCGGCGACUAUGAACCGCUUCGUCGUCGUUUCAGCUGCCGUCUUCCUCCUCAUCUCCGUCGCGUAUCUUCCUCUCCUCAACGAACUAUAUUGGUCAACUCUGACAUCUCUUAAACCACCGGUUAGGGUCGUGGCGGAUUUGCUAGUCACAAAUGGAACAAUCUUCACCAGCGACAAAUCUUUACCCUUUGCUGAUUCCAUGGCCAUUCGCAACGGCAGGAUUCUCAAAGUCGGAAGCUUUACCACUCUCAAGGAUUUUGUAGGAGAUGGGACUGUGGAGGUGAAUCUGGAGGGGAAGGUUGUAGUGCCUGGACUUAUUGAUUCACAUGUUCAUUUGAUUUCUGGGGGACUGCAGAUGGCUCAGGUUGGACUCAGAGGAGUGAGUCAGAAGGAAGAGUUUUGCAAAAUGGUUAAAGACGCGGUUCAGAAUGCAAAAGAGGGCUCAUGGAUUCUUGGUGGUGGAUGGAACAAUGAUUUCUGGGGAGGAGAGUUGCCUUCUGCUUCUUGGAUUGAUGAAAUCUCUCCUCAUAAUCCUGUUUGGUUGAUUAGGAUGGAUGGUCAUAUGGCUUUGGCGAAUUCCCUCACCCUUAAGAUUGCUGGUGUUACCAGUUUAACGGAAGAUCCAGUUGGUGGAACCAUAAUGAGAUUGCCUAGUGGCGAGCCUACAGGUCUUCUGAUUGAUGCUGCUAUGGAGCUUGUCACUUCCUUCGUUAAAGAAGUGUCAGUGGAUGAACGUAGGGAAGCACUUGUUAGAGCUAGCAAGUAUGCUUUGACCAGAGGCGUGACAACUGUUGUUGAUCUCGGAAGAUAUUAUCCUGGCACUACAGAUGAGCUCUCCUGGAAUGACUUUGAAGAUGUCUAUCUAUGGGCUGACUCAACGAAGAAGAUGAUGAUACGGACUUGCUUGUUUUUCCCAAUCACAACAUGGUCACGCUUAUCGGAUCUUAAGCUUCAGAAGGGACAUGUACUGAGUGAAUGGUUGUACCUAGGUGGCGUCAAAGCAUUUAUUGAUGGCUCUCUAGGUUCCAACAGUGCACUUUUCUACGAGGAAUAUAUUGACACACCUAACAAUCAUGGGUUAGAAGUGAUGGAUCCUGAGAUACUUUCAAACCUCACAAUGGCAGCAGACAAAUCAGGGCUUCAGGUUGCUAUCCAUGCUAUAGGAGACAAAGCAAAUGACAUGAUUCUUGACAUGUACAAAUCCGUUGCUGCAGCCAAUGGAGAACGGGACAGAAGAUUUAGGAUUGAGCAUGCGCAACAUUUGGCACCAGGAUCUUCGGACCGAUUUGGUCGACAUCACAUUGUAGCCUCAGUGCAGCCAGAUCAUUUGCUUGAUGAUGCUGAUACUGCUCCUAAGAAGCUCGGUUUUGAUAGAGCUGAAAAGGAGUCUUAUCUAUUUCAGUCUCUCUUAAACGGCAAUGCGCUUGUGGCUUUUGGUUCAGACUGGCCUUUUGUCUUUGUUUCAGGUGGCAGACAUUAACCCGUUGCACAGUAUCAGAACCGCGGUUAAACGCAUACCUCCCAAAUGGGAUCACGCUUGGAUCCCAUCUGAAUGCAUCUCUUUUACCAAUGCGUUGACCGCGCACACUAUAUCAGCGGCACAAGCAGCCUUUCUUGAUGAUCACUUGGGAUCUAUAUCUCCAGGGAAGCUUGCGGAUUUUGUUGUAUUGUCAACAAAUUCAUGGGACGAGUUCUCAAAAGACGGUUCUGCUUCGGUUUUGGCAACGUAUGUAGGAGGAAAGCAAGUGCAUCCAUGAGAUGAUGAGAAACCUCUAAUGACACCAUAAACAAGGUGUUUUGUAAAACUAAGUAUCUGGCAAGUUAGUUCUCUGUUUGUCGAUGAUGCCUUUUGUGAAUAUAUGCAUUGGUUCAUCAGUUACCACA
Molecule: RNA transcript, 1967 nt
Organism: Brassica oleracea var. oleracea
Lineage: Eukaryota; Viridiplantae; Streptophyta; Magnoliopsida; Brassicales; Brassicaceae
Gene name: putative amidohydrolase YtcJ
Exons: 15
Source: RefSeq, a predicted model, not a curated record